UACGUAGGGGGCAAGCGUUGUCCGGAUUUACUGGGCGUAAAGGGCGCGUAGGCGGUGUGUCAAGUCAGGCGUGAAAGCCCCGGGCUCAACCUGGGAACCGCGCUUGAGACUGGCACGCUCGAGUUCGGGAGAGGAUGGUGGAAUUCCCAGUGUAGAGGUGAAAUUCGUAGAUAUUGGGAAGAACACCGAUGGCGAAGGCAGCCAUCUGGACCGACACUGACGCUGAGGCGCGAAAGCGUGGGGAGCAAACAGG
Molecule: ribosomal RNA, 253 nt
Filed under: uncultured bacterium
Lineage: Bacteria
Description: partial 16S ribosomal RNA
Rfam family: Bacterial small subunit ribosomal RNA
Source: RNAcentral